RNAcentral lists this small RNA (189 nucleotides) under Chelonoidis abingdonii (Abingdon island giant tortoise). RNAcentral's name for it is "TUC338 (ENSCABG00000002145.1)". Lineage: Eukaryota; Metazoa; Chordata; Testudines; Testudinidae. The record is from RNAcentral.
UUGACAGCCCUGAAAACUGAGGUCCUCCAGUUAUCCACAGGAUAGGCACAGCCCUGGCAGUGUGAUAGCGUCACAUUCACAGACAUGAAUCUAUCACAGCUGGCAUGGCUUUCCUCAGACAUGGGGCUCUCCUCAGACAGGGUUGUGAGGGAAGUAUAGUUUCCUUGGCCCACUUAGUCCUUAAUCUCU